RNAcentral lists this transfer-messenger RNA (355 nucleotides) under Herminiimonas sp. Its description in RNAcentral is "partial transfer-messenger RNA". It matches the Rfam family "transfer-messenger RNA". Rfam says of the family: Bacterial tmRNA, also known as 10Sa RNA or SsrA, is named for its dual tRNA and mRNA-like properties. Its role is to liberate the mRNA from a stalled ribosome. Lineage: Bacteria; Pseudomonadati; Pseudomonadota; Betaproteobacteria; Burkholderiales; Oxalobacteraceae. The record is from RNAcentral.
GACCUGGUUUCGACAGGGGUUGCAAAGCAGCGCAGGGCAUACCGAGGGCUGGCUACCUCGUAAAUACAACCAGAAAAAACUUAACUGCAAACGAUAACUCGUACGCACUAGCCGCUUAAUAACCGGUUAGCUCUACACCACUUCUUCCCUGGGGUGGGCUGGCAACAGCAGUAGAGUCAUUUACAGGGAAUCGCGCGAAGCCGGGUCACUUGGCGAGCGUUAAAUCCAAGGUGACUCGUCUUGCCGCAGCGUGUGCGUCCGCGUCGGCCGGAUCAAAUCAAAUGACAGCACUAAGUAUGUAGAACUGUCUGUAGAGUACUUCUGGACGCGGGUUCGAUUCCCGCCGCCUCCACCA